AUGAGUCAUCCUGAUGGCAUCAACAUCCCUGAUGACAAUUUCUACCUAGGAGAUGCUGGCUAUACAUGUCAGCCAGGUAUUCUUCCACCUAGGAAAACCAAGUACCAUCUGAACGAGUUCGUUGGAAGAAACUAUCCUGGGACUCCACAGGAGCUGUUCAAUCUCAGACACUCCAGCCUUAGAGUUACUGUUGAGAGAGCCUUUGGAGCUCUGAAGAACAUGUUUAAGAUUCUAGGUCAGAAGCCAUUCCACACAUUCGCCACUCGGGUUAAGAUUGUUCUUGCUUGUUGCAUUCUGCAUAACUGGAUCCUGCAAUGGGGUGUUGAUGAACUGGUGCCUGAGGAGGAAGAUGUGAUGCCUGACGAUGUUCUCAGCUCCGGCCAUGUUGUGCAGGCAUUUGACAACAAAGUCUAGAAGAACAAAAGGAUGGACUAGGCACAUGCAAUGUGGGAUAGAGGUCGUACAAGAAUCUGA
This 474-nucleotide ribosomal RNA is filed under the name Triticum aestivum (bread wheat). RNAcentral describes it as "partial small subunit ribosomal RNA". Lineage: Eukaryota; Viridiplantae; Streptophyta; Magnoliopsida; Poales; Poaceae. The record is from RNAcentral.